GAGUAACACGUGAGCAACCUGCCCCAGACUCUGGGAUAACAGUUGGAAACAGCUGCUAAUACCGGAUACGAGACGGAGAGGCAUCUCUACCGUCUGGAAAGUUUUUCGGUCUGGGAUGGACUCGCGGCCUAUCAGCUAGUUGGUGAGGUAAUGGCUCACCAAGGCGACGACGGGUAGCCGGCCUGAGAGGGCGACCGGCCACACUGGGACUGAGACACGGCCCAGACUCCUACGGGAGGCAGCAGUGGGGAAUAUUGCACAAUGGGCGAAAGCCUGAUGCAGCGACGCCGCGUGAGGGAUGACGGCCUUCGGGUUGUAAACCUCUUUCAGCAGGGAAGAAGCGAAAGUGACGGUACCUGCAGAAGAAGCACCGGCUAACUACGUGCCAGCAGCCGCGGUAAUACGUAGGGUGCGAGCGUUGUCCGGAAUUAUUGGGCGUAAAGAGCUUGUAGGCGGUUUGUCGCGUCUGCAGUGAAAAUCCGAGGCUCAACCUCGGACUUGCUGUGGGUACGGGCAGACUAGAGUAUGGUAGGGGAGACCGGAAUUCCUGGUGUAGCGGUGGAAUGCGCAGAUAUCAGGAGGAACACCGAUGGCGAAGGCAGGUCUCUGGGCCAUAACUGACGCUGAGAAGCGAAAGCAUGGGGAGCGAACAGGAUUAGAUACCCUGGUAGUCCAUGCCGUAAACGUUGGGCGCUAGGUGUGGGGCUCAUUCCACGAGCUCCGUGCCGCAGCUAACGCAUUAAGCGCCCCGCCUGGGGAGUACGGCCGCAAGGCUAAAACUCAAAGGAAUUGACGG
RNAcentral lists this ribosomal RNA (796 nucleotides) under uncultured bacterium. RNAcentral's name for it is "bacterial SSU rRNA". It matches the Rfam family "Bacterial small subunit ribosomal RNA", at positions 108 to 916 of the family's 1533-position model. The record is from RNAcentral.